ACCUCAAAUGUUUUACCUGGUUGUAGGGCCCAGCUGUCAUCUCCUCUUCCUUCUCCCGUGCUUAUCCUCGCUCCCGAAGCCUCCCGAACCGGCCAGCUCACUUCCGUGCUCAAGUCGCCCACGCCUCUCCACUCUCCCUCUCGUGCGUGUGCCGAGCCAUGGCUGCCACGGCCACGAGCCGAGCUCGCCCCUGCCAGAGCCCCAUGUCCCCAAAACCCUAGCCCCCUUCCUCCAUUGCUGCCGCCAGCCCAAGCUCUGCUUGCCGCCGGCCGCUGUCGAUUGCCUCCUCCGGUGCCCCGCUGGAGCUCUCCCAUCGGCGCCGCCUGUUCUUGUUGCGCCGCCCCCUCCGCCGCCGUUCCUGCAGUCUGUGUCGCCGGUGAGUGACUGAACCGUCGGAGAACGAACCCGUUGAGCCUGCCAAGUCCGUCGAGCCUGAACCCGGAGUCCCGUUCGUGGUCGAGCCCGAAGUUAACCAAGGCAAGCAGCUAAGCAUAAAUCCUUGCACCUAUUUAAUUUGAUUAGUUUAGUUAUCUCAUCGGGUAAUGUUGGGUAUAUAAAUUAUGUACAUAUUGCAUUCUUGUACCCACUUUAAUGCAUUGUCCUUCCUUGAUUGGUUUAUCCAUGUCCUUGUCACUUGUUAGUCAGAUAAUUACUUAACUUGACUAGAUGCUUAGCUCUGCUUAGGAUACUCAUCCUUCUUACUAGAAACAACAGCUAGAGUAUCACAUUUACCGAUUACCCUUGAUUGCAUUGGUUGGGUUUGGUUGUUAGUGAAGUGAUAGUACCGAGAUUCGAGCGGAAUGGUAGGGCCUAGAGAAUAAAGUCACAUGGGCAUAGUCCGCUUGGAUCGAUUAAGGACCGAGUGGAUGCCAUCGGCCUUGAGCACCUUUUCGUGCUACCACAUAU
Panicum virgatum (switchgrass) is the source of this 906-nucleotide long non-coding RNA. RefSeq lists it as uncharacterized. NCBI's taxonomy places the organism in Eukaryota, Viridiplantae, Streptophyta, Magnoliopsida, Poales, Poaceae. The record is from RefSeq and is a predicted model, not a curated record. The transcript has 3 exons.